Phyllostomus discolor (pale spear-nosed bat) is the source of this 500-nucleotide long non-coding RNA. RefSeq lists it as uncharacterized. The record is from RefSeq and is a predicted model, not a curated record. The transcript is spliced from 2 exons. Lineage: Eukaryota; Metazoa; Chordata; Mammalia; Chiroptera; Phyllostomidae.
CGUGUUAUUCCAGCUUGACUCAAGUCCUGCUUCUACCAGUCCUUUCCUUGCCCCCCUACCUAGAAGUGACCAUACACUUCUUGAAGGAGGAAGGAGGCAGAAUACUAAAGGAAGACGGCAAGUCUGGAUCCUCUGACCCGACUUAAAUACUGAUGCGCUCACGCAGGCUGGAGUGCUGGCAGUCUGUGCGGGGAGGGCGAGCAGAGGCAGAGUGCGGCGUGGAGGCUCUCCGCCUCAUCCGGGGGAGGGAGGCGGGUGAUCUGGGCCCGGGGCAUGACAGUAGAAAUGGUGAGUAAAAGUUAGAGUCUGUUACAUUUGAAGGCCAGUCCCAUGGCUCCGGCCACAUCAACCUCUCCCCCACUCGACAUCAUGGCUAAUGUAUCACUCUUCCUUCCAGAUUUCUCUUCUAAACCCCCGAAGGAAAAGAGAUGUUUUUCAGAAGAGUCCUAUAUUCUCCAGUAAGUAAUACUGGCAAGUCACAGGGUUCUUCCUAGCAACUU